GAUCUAUUUCCCCCAACACACACAAAUUCUACCUACCGAGGAAGCCUUGCUAGUAAUUAAUAUUAUGUCUUUUCUUUUGCAGUUUUUAAUGGGACAAAUGGAUUCCUUGAAUGAGCCCUUUCUACCAUCCAAGUGUGGGCCAAGACUUCCGCCCAGUUAAUGGUAUUGUCAAGACGAACCCCUUGGAGUUCUCCAGUCAUCAGAAAUAGGUGUGCAGUCAUCCCUUGGUAUAGCGUGGGACUGGUUCCAGCAGAUACCGAAAUCCAGGCACAUUCACGUCUCACAGUGGGGCCUGUGGAACACGCAAAUACGGAAAGUUGCCCUCCCUCUGUGUGCGUUUCGCAUCCUCCAGCUGCUGUGUUUUCGACCCACGUUUGAAAAAAAAUAUGUAAGUGGACCCCUUCAAAC
RNAcentral lists this long non-coding RNA (408 nucleotides) under Homo sapiens (human). RNAcentral describes it as "non-protein coding lnc-ACP1-1:4". Lineage: Eukaryota; Metazoa; Chordata; Mammalia; Primates; Hominidae. The record is from RNAcentral.